UACAAGAUAAGAUUAACUUUGACAGUAUCACACAUAUUUCAAAUCAGUGUACUAGUAGAAACAUGUUAAGUACAUGUAAUCAAAUAAAACAGAACAAGCAGAACAUUUACAUUCUUUGGAAGCGUGGUUGGAAUUGUUGGUGUUUGUAAUCUAUGUGUGGUUACACUUGUGAAGCUGAUGGAGGAAAGUUAGCAUUAAGGUAUUAGCCAUGUAAUACAACUCGGGAAACAUCGGGUAACAUCGACAUAUAUCGCCACUCGCCGUAACAGAUCGCGACGAACAUCGGGCGUAUUCGGCCUGUACCGGAUGUUGCUAUUUUUAGAAACAGAAGGUAUUUCCCGGCUAUUCAUAGGUCAAUAAUGGAAUUUCUACAUCGUAGGAUUUGGAAACGUUGUGAUGUUUUUCUCAUGAAUAUAUGUUUAAAAUAAAUAAACACUUAAAGUACACACUGACAGUUGAUUACGAUACAUCUAACAAUUUGAGUCAUUACAGUUAAACAUGGAUUACAAGUGAAAUAUACGCGUAAGAGAAGAUUUUCUCUCGAAAAAACGAACUGUCAACAAUCGGCAUGGAACUGGGAUAUUCGUAUCAAAGGGCUCUGAAUGCAGGAAAAUGACUGAAUAUUACUUAGUCAACAACACUGGGUUAUGAAGAAUUCCAGCCUGCAUUAAAUACUAUGUUGGAUCCUUGAGAGCUGAUUUGACAGCCAUGUCCAUCCACAAGGCAGUCGCAUCUGAUCGAGAUGAUCAUUAAACAUUCUUGAUGGGUAAAGUACCUGAAGGUGCAUGAAAACCAAAUCAGCAUUGACUCAGCAAUGAGUAGUUAUCAUCUGUGCACACACUACAAGUACA
Molecule: long non-coding RNA, 851 nt
Organism: Mya arenaria
Lineage: Eukaryota; Metazoa; Mollusca; Bivalvia; Myida; Myidae
Exons: 3
Source: RefSeq, a predicted model, not a curated record